Molecule: long non-coding RNA, 213 nt
Filed under: Linum usitatissimum (flax)
Lineage: Eukaryota; Viridiplantae; Streptophyta; Magnoliopsida; Malpighiales; Linaceae
Description: long non-coding RNA (LUSI_LNC000184)
Source: RNAcentral
CCGCCGUUGAUUCCGGCCGGGGAGAAGAAGACACCAAGCGCAGCAGGAAGAGGAUGAACGAGGAGGUGCAUGAAUGUGACAGUACCCUCAUCAAUGGGGGAUCCCCUUUUCGUGUCUCACGAGGAAAACCAGGCUCCUUAGACGACAGCUUUGAGUAUUGCGUGAAAACAAUCCGGAUGCUGGAAUGUGGAGGUCACAUCGAUCAGGAAUUCA